GUGGGGAAUAUUGGACAAUGGGCGAAAGCCUGAUCCAGCCAUGCCGCGUGAGUGAUGAAGGCCUUAGGGUUGUAAAGCUCUUUCAGUAGGGAAGAUAAUGACGGUACCUACAGAAGAAGCCCCGGCUAACUUCGUGCCAGCAGCCGCGGUAAUACGAAGGGGGCUAGCGUUGUUCGGAUUUACUGGGCGUAAAGCGCACGUAGGCGGUUUGUUAAGUCAGGGGUGAAAUCCCGGAGCUCAACUCCGGAACUGCCUUUGAUACUGGCAAGCUAGAGUCCGGAAGAGGUAAGUGGAACUCCUAGUGUAGAGGUGGAAUUCGUAGAUAUUAGGAAGAACACCAGUGGCGAAGGCGGCUUACUGGUCCGGAACUGACGCUGAGGUGCGAAAGCGUGGGGAGCAAACAGGAUUAGAAACCCGAGUAGUCC
This 425-nucleotide ribosomal RNA is filed under the name uncultured bacterium. RNAcentral describes it as "partial 16S ribosomal RNA". It matches the Rfam family "Bacterial small subunit ribosomal RNA", at positions 354 to 796 of the family's 1533-position model. The record is from RNAcentral.